GUUCGGAUUGUAGUCUGNAACCCGACUACAUGAAGCUGGAAUCGCUAGUAAUCGCGAAUCAGAAUGUCGCGGUGAAUACGUUCCCGGGUCUUGUACACACCGCCCGUCACACCAUGGGAGUCGGAAAUGCCCGAAGUCAGUGACCUAACCGAAAGGGAGGAGCUGCCGAAGGUGGAGCCGGUAACUGGGGUGAAGUCGUAACAAGGUAAC
This 210-nucleotide ribosomal RNA is filed under the name uncultured bacterium. Its description in RNAcentral is "partial 16S ribosomal RNA". It matches the Rfam family "Bacterial small subunit ribosomal RNA", at positions 1291 to 1500 of the family's 1533-position model. The record is from RNAcentral.